GUGAAGAGAGCAAGGGAUAUGCGCUUUUUAAUUUAAAAUUUCAAUAGCCCGUUCUACCAACAGCCCACAAAAACUUCAAAACCUAGAUUGGUCGUUGACACCUCCAUCACCUUCAUCGUCCCAUCUGGAAAUUCAUCAGUCUCUGCAACUCGACGUUACCGUGUAAUAAUGUCGAUCCUUUACUAAAUCAUUCAAUUCGGUUCUUAACUCCUUUACUAAUGAGAUAUGGUAUCGUUCUACGUCCCUUUGUUUCUCCACCUAUAUAAAUCCCUUCAUAAACCUUCACUCCAGCCAUAAUUGAAAACCUCAGUCAAAGAAUAUAAAGCUAUGACCAUAAAAUCUGCUCAGCCCUUGGCAAGUCUCCUGUCGAACGGUGUAAUCUGAAGGUUAGAGAUUUCUCACUUUAAUGGCUUACGCUUUGGUUCUUCUUGGACGGCUGCUCAGAUUCUGGGAGGCCAUGUGACGAUUUGAUCGGUCUCGACAUGAUCUUCGUCGAUUCUCAGCCACUAUUUAAAGUCGGUGAAGUUCAUAGCAAGCACUCAAUAGGCAGAUGGUUCAUGGGACAUACGGUCCCUUAAAACGUACGGAGUUUGUGGAGUUUGCUACACAUAUGCAUCAUGGUUUGCUCUUAGAAGCUUGGAAGUAACCGGCAACACGUAUGAAAACUGUUCCACUAUGCAAGCCAUAUGUCCUGCCCUGAAAAGAGAUACAUAGAAUUAGGAGGAAUCAAACCUGGUGCAAACCGGUUAGGAAUUGAUAGGUCUGAUUCAACCAGGACAGAUCUGCCAAACAAAUGUUACAUAUUCCAUUUCUCAACAUUUCUGUUAAAAAGGUAUGUUGUGUUUAACUGAUAUAUUUGUUAACAGGUCGAGAGAGAUCCACUGCCUCUUCACAGUGUUGUGAAACUGAUCAUCAGUUCCAGUUAGAAAACGGAGACUACCCUCAACAGCUGCAAAUGAAGCAGAAGCAGCUCGAGCUUAUGCCAAAGAAGCUUCAAAGACACUGAAAGGAAAAUACAUCUGCAAAGUGGUCGUAUUGAAAAUUUGAUUAAACAGAUGGUAUGUACGUGAUGACAGAAAAGAAAGAGAAGAGAAGAAGCUAAAUGUGUUGCAGGUGGAGAGAGAGAGAGAGAGAAGCGGCGAAGUAGUGUUUGUGUGUUGAUGAUUUUCUACCUUGGAAACACUUUUUAGUCGUAAACACUAAUUUUAGAUGCUAAAGCUAUUGUAUUAUUGCUCAUACUUCACUUUACAGCCAAACUAAGUUUUAAAACUGAAAAUAUAAAACGCUACAAUUUUCUU
Molecule: long non-coding RNA, 1298 nt
Organism: Raphanus sativus (radish)
Lineage: Eukaryota; Viridiplantae; Streptophyta; Magnoliopsida; Brassicales; Brassicaceae
Exons: 4
Source: RefSeq, a predicted model, not a curated record